Molecule: long non-coding RNA, 3307 nt
Filed under: Marmota monax (woodchuck)
Lineage: Eukaryota; Metazoa; Chordata; Mammalia; Rodentia; Sciuridae
Source: RNAcentral
GCCCUUUUUAUUUUUUGAGACAGUGUCUCGCUAGGUUUCUCAGCCUGGAUUUGAACUUGCUGUCCUCCUGCCUUAGCCUCCUGAGCUGCUGUGACUACAGCCAUGUGCCACUGCACCCAGGUAUGUACUUAUUACUUUAUCCUUUAUGUAAGUGCAUUUCUAACUUAUUUAGACAAGAAUGAUUUAUCACUAAUUGAAGUAAUGAUCAAUAAAAAGGGCACCUGGGGGACUUCCCUUAGUUACCUCUUUAUCACAAUUCCUUCUCAGAGAAAAAAAAGAUUUUCAGUUCAACAGUCACAGCUUCCUUAGAAAAUGAGCUAUUGUAAAUCAGUCCCAAAUUCAAGAAGUUAACUCCAGAACUCAAGCAGCCUAUAAAAUGUACCCCAGAUCAAUGUGAUCUGAUCUUCUCACUGAAAUGAGAUCUGGUCAGUCUAACUGUCUCCUGCAUGUUACAUUUGAGCAAUAGUUUACAGGUAAGGGACCUAGGCUUGCAGGCUCUUUGGGUAGUCUCUCAGUCAAAGUUAGGGCUGCCAUCACAAAAUACUUCAGACUUAACUUAUUGCCUACAGUUCGGGAUGGUAGGAAGUCCAAGAUCAAGGCGGCAGCAACAGUUUAGGGUUUAGUGGGGGCUCUCUUUAUUUGUGUGUCUUCACGUGGCAGGAGAGGCAAGCAGGCUCUCCAGCCUCAUGGGCAGUAAUCUCAUUCAAAAGGGUGGAGCCUUCAUGACUUAAUCACCUCCCUGAUUCUGCACCUCUUAAUAUGAUCCCAUUAGGUAUUAGUUUUCAAUGUAGGAAAUCUGUGGAGGAUACAGCAUGCACACUACAGCAGUUGGGGACAAGAAGGAAGUGCAAACUUUAGCAAUAGGAGAAAGGAUGAUUGUGUAUAGCUUGUCCAGUGGUGUUAGUAUUAGAACAUUAGAUCUGGAGAAGGCAUCCUCUGCACUACUUAGAAGAAUUAAAGGAGGGGAGGGGGAACAGAGAGAAGACAACUGUGAGAGUUAAAGUUCCCCCAGGGACCUAACUUAGGGAUAUGUCAGUGCCUAAGCAAUUCAAGAGACUUAUUUGUGGUAACAACCAACAGAAUGUAAUAAUUUUUUAAUUGUCAUUUAAUCAUUGAUCAUUGAUUAGUCAACUCGGAAGAGAGGAGUAAAAGAGAAGAUGAGUUUCAGGGCAAAUCUAAUCAUUCUGAUUAUUGAGGAUGAGAACUGAGGAAACAAUGCUAACUUGGACAAGGAUGGGAAUGGAAGUGAGGGGGUGAAAAACUUAUAAUCAUGUGAGGUUUUCCACAGCAGCUGAGUAAAUCAUCUGGCGGCAAUGAUAAAGUAUGGCAAACAGCCUAGGGAUUUAGCCUCUCUAGUGGGUGGAGCUGAUAUUUCAUAAUUCAUUACUUGUACAAAUUUCAUUCUGGAAAUUUCCAAUAAAAUUCCACAGCCAGGAAAUGCUAUUGAAAGAUGAUCAAAAAUGCUCUUUGCCUCCGUAAAGGUUAUAAUGUGCGCAGUGAGGAAAGGCAAGGCUAAAUUUUGAAAGGUACAUCAUUACUCUAGUCCAAGAAAUAUUUACUUGAAGAAUAGCUAAAAAAAAAUGUAUAAAGGGCCAGGCACAGUGAUGCACGCCUGUAAUCCCAACAGCUUGGGAGGCUGAGGCAGGAGGAUCACAAAUUCAAAGCCAGCCUCAGCAACUGAGCGAGACCCUGUCUCAAAAUAAAAUAUACAUAAAUUAAGAAGUGUUAAUGUGGUUCAGUAGUUGAAUGCCGCAGGGUUCAAUCCCUGGUACAAAAAAAAAAAAUUGUACAAAGGUAGUUAGUUACAAAACAGAAGCUGAUAAUGAGUGAUCAAUUGAUUCAAUGGUAAUUGACAGAGACUUGAAUGAUUAUUGUCUCACUCAGUUUACUCUGAUAAAGAAGUUCCACAUCUUCUAGAACCUUGAUUGGGUGAGGUUGAAAAAGGAGUGCAUAUAAGUAGAUGAACAGAGUUUGGUUGUUGGUUGUUUCUGGAAAUCUCAGUGUCCUGUCUUCUCAAAUUGUUAUCAAUCAAGCAUUGCCAGCCACUAGGAGUUCACUUUUUUGCAGUUACUGUUCAUGUUGCAUGGCUUCUGAAAUUAUUGCUGCUUUUUUUUUGUACUGAGGCAAAAUUUGUCUCAGUAUAGCAAUGAACCCUCAACCCUUUUAGAUUCUCAGAUCAAUAUCAUGUCAGACAGCUCUAUGUCUACAUAAAAACUAUAUAGUAUGGUUUCCACACAUUGUCUUUUGCAAACAAAUCAUCCAGCUUUUAAGAGAAUUGUUUGUUUGGUGCAUGGUCCAAUUUUAAAAUCCCUUCCAUAUUUUCAUUGUCCUAUGUUGGCUUUUAUAGCUAGUUUCCUCCCAAGGCCAUCUUAAAUAUCUAGCACGUAGUUCUUGAUAGACCAUUUUAGGGGGACAUUACAGUAUGAAGAAGUAACAUCCAGGAGUUUUUUCUGGAGCAGACUUGAAUUUGAAUCCUUGCAGCAAAAUUGUGAUAACAAUAUUAAUCUCCAAAGAUUGUUAUGGUUGUUAGGAUUAGAUGAAUUAUUUUAUAUAAAGUUCCUUGCAUUGUGCUUGAUAUAGAAGAGUUACAGAUCAAACAAUGAUAAGGCUAAGGCUAUUAAAAUAUUAAAUAACUAUUUUUUCUUAUUAUUGGUCUGGUUAGAUGGCAAAUUCAGAAUCAGAACAGAGGUCAAUGAUCUCUGCAUAUAUGUGAAUAUCUAUCUAUCCACACACAUGUGUGUAUGUAUUAUGUAAUUUUUUAAUUUAAAAACAUUCUAAAUAACAAUAAUACAUUUCUUCUUGCUUUUUAAGUAUUGAUAUUUACUCUCCCAUUUAGCUGAAUGCCUUAGGUAGGAUUGUGAGUGUUAAUUUUUAUUCUUCCUCUUCUAGAAGUCAUCUGCCAUGGUUUAAUCCACUUUCUAUGCCAUCAUCAAAGAAAAUCAAAAGUUAUUCUUAAAAAGACUCCUAUCUGCAAUGGAGCUCUCAUCAAACUGACAUUGAACUUGGAUCAUGAGGUGAAGGAACUUCCUACCUUUAAGUAGUCAAGUAGUCGUGACUUUAGGGAGUGACAAAGCCAAGAAUCACCCAAAGAAACUAUUCACAUCAUUCUUUUCUCCCAGAGUAUCCAGAAGUUUAUUUUUUCAGCUCCAUUUGCUGUCCUCAGCUCCAACCCUUCAGGAUUCUUAUCUAAUUCUCCUGAUCUCUCCACUCUGAAACCAGGACUCUUUUACAACGAUAUGAUGCCACUUUAGUUUUGUAUUGUGGAAAUGGUGAGAUCAUUCUAUGAUUAAACCAAUAAAUAAGUCCA